GAUGAACGCUGGCGGCGUGCCUAAUACAUGCAAGUCGAGCGAACAGACGAGGAGCUUGCUCCUCUGACGUUAGCGGCGGACGGGUGAGUAACACGUGGAUAACCUACCUAUAAGACUGGGAUAACUUCGGGAAACCGGAGCUAAUACCGGAUAAUAUAUUGAACCUAAUGGUUCAAUAGUGAAAUACGGUUUUGCUGUCACUUAUAGAUGGAUCCGCGCCGCAUUAGCUAGUUGGUAAGGUAACGGCUUACCAAGGCGACGAUGCGUAGCCGACCUGAGAGGGUGAUCGGCCACACUGGAACUGAGACACGGUCCAGACUCCUACGGGAGGCAGCAGUAGGGAAUCUUCCGCAAUGGGCGAAAGCUUGACGGAGCAACGCCGCGUGAAUGAUGAAGGUCUUCGGAUCGUAAAACUCUGUUAUUAGGGAAGAACAAAUGUGUAAGUAACUAUGCACGUCUUGACGGUACCUAAUCAGAAAGCCACGGCUAACUACGUG
Molecule: ribosomal RNA, 497 nt
Filed under: uncultured bacterium
Lineage: Bacteria
Description: partial 16S ribosomal RNA
Rfam family: Bacterial small subunit ribosomal RNA
Source: RNAcentral